Molecule: unclassified non-coding RNA, 336 nt
Filed under: soil metagenome
Description: partial contains 5.8S ribosomal RNA, internal transcribed spacer 2, and large subunit ribosomal RNA
Rfam family: 5.8S ribosomal RNA (bases 1-120)
Source: RNAcentral
GAUGAAGAACGCAGCGAAAUGCGAUAAGUAAUGUGAAUUGCAGAAUUCAGUGAAUCAUCGAAUCUUUGAACGCACAUUGCGCCCGCCAGUAUUCUGGCGGGCAUGCCUGUUCGAGCGUCAUUUCAACCAUCAAGCCCCAGGCUUGUGUUGGGGACCUGCGGCUGCCGCAGGGCCUGAAAACCAGUGGCGGGCUCGCUGUCACACCGGGCGUAGUAGAUUUUAUCUCGCUCAGGGCGUGCUGCGGGUUCCGGCCGUUAAAAAGCCUUUUUUACCCAAGGUUGACCUCGGAUCAGGUAGGAAGACCCGCUGAACUUAAGCAUAUCAAUAAGCGGAGGA